RNAcentral lists this small nuclear RNA (107 nucleotides) under Phascolarctos cinereus (koala). The record is from RNAcentral. Lineage: Eukaryota; Metazoa; Chordata; Mammalia; Diprotodontia; Phascolarctidae.
GUGCUUGCUUUGGCAGAACAUAUACUAAAAUUAAAAUGAUACAGAGAAGAUUAGCAUGGCCCCUGCUCAAGGAUGACAUGAAAAUUUGUGAAGCAUUCCAUAUUUCU